GCUUGCUCUCUUGGCGGCGAGUGGCGGACGGGUGAGUAAUAUAUCGGAACGUGCCCAGUAGCGGGGGAUAACUACUCGAAAGAGUGGCUAAUACCGCAUACGCCCUACGGGGGAAAGGGGGGGAUCGCAAGACCUCUCACUAUUGGAGCGGCCGAUAUCGGAUUAGCUAGUUGGUGGGGUAAAGGCUCACCAAGGCAACGAUCCGUAGCUGGUUUGAGAGGACGACCAGCCACACUGGGACUGAGACACGGCCCAGACUCCUACGGGAGGCAGCAGUGGGGAAUUUUGGACAAUGGGGGAAACCCUGAUCCAGCCAUCCCGCGUGUAUGAUGAAGGCCUUCGGGUUGUAAAGUACUUUUGGCAGAGAAGAAAAGGUAUCCCCUAAUACGGGAUACUGCUGACGGUAUCUGCAGAAUAAGCACCGGCUAACUACGUGCCAGCAGCCGCGGUAAUACGUAGGGUGCAAGCGUUAAUCGGAAUUACUGGGCGUAAAGCGUGUGUAGGCGGUUCGGAAAGAAAGAUGUGAAAUCCCAGGGCUCAACCUUGGAACUGCAUUUUUAACUGCCGAGCUAGAGUAUGUCAGAGGGGGGUAGAAUUCCACGUGUAGCAGUGAAAUGCGU
RNAcentral lists this ribosomal RNA (620 nucleotides) under Alcaligenes phenolicus. RNAcentral describes it as "bacterial SSU rRNA". It matches the Rfam family "Bacterial small subunit ribosomal RNA", at positions 78 to 691 of the family's 1533-position model. Lineage: Bacteria; Pseudomonadati; Pseudomonadota; Betaproteobacteria; Burkholderiales; Alcaligenaceae. The record is from RNAcentral.